This 2789-nucleotide long non-coding RNA is filed under the name Salvia miltiorrhiza (redroot sage). The record is from RNAcentral. Lineage: Eukaryota; Viridiplantae; Streptophyta; Magnoliopsida; Lamiales; Lamiaceae.
UUCCCUUUAAAUUCUCCAGCUCCACAACUCAAUCUCAUCAAUUUUCCAUCCCAACUUAUUCCUUCCGCCGCCGCUCAAAUUUAUUUCUUUCGCCUCUAGUGUUUUACAUCCAAUGAAACUUGAUUUCUUUGUUUAAUCUUUUCCAAUUUUGUUUCAAAAACUUCCGGCAAUUUUCUGUAUCGCCAAUGAGGAAGAAAUCCCAAGAAUAGGAAGUGCCGUAUGACACAUUAAAACGCAGCAUUUUCGCGCCGUCCGCCGCUUCCUUCCACCGCCGUCGAUUCUAUGUCUAUGUGACAUCAGAAUUGUUCGUCGGUCGGUUGCGUUCGCCGUCGCUGCUGCUUGGUUGAUUUGAAACGGGACUCUGAGGUUAUUUGAUUACUUUUUCUUGUUUCAUAUACCUUAUUUUUUUCAUCCGCCGACGGUUCGAUGCCACGUNAGCUCGCCGACGCCGCGCUGGAAGGAGACGAUGUCGCCGGCGUCUAGCUUCUUCUCCUUGACGAAGUGGGACCAGCCCUUGGUCAUCACGUAGCUCUGGCUGCUGUUCCAGUAGGAGUAGCGAAACCGCCAUGACUUCCCAUUCCGGUCCUUGAAAUUCAGCAGCAAACCCUUCUCGUUUGUGGACGUACGAGUCCAGUGGGAAGAGAGAGAGAGAUUGGGGUGUGAGAGAGAGACGUGCCGAUUCCGGCUGCCACGUCAAUAUUCGGUCGCCGAAAUUCAAAAUUGUGUCAAAAUUGAACAACUUCUUAAAUUGGUGUAUUAAAAUGUAAAAUCCUAAGUUUGCGUUAAAUUUGAAUUUUUGGCAAAGUUUGUGUAUUUAGGUGCAAUUUUCCCUAUUUACAAUGCAAGCGUUAAAUAUGCAGCAUUUUACUAGAAACAAGGUGGCAAAUUUGGAGAGACAGGAAGUUGGCAUUUGGAGAAGAGAAAGGACCUUGUUCCGAUUUGUAGAGGAUGGGUGAUGGGUGGGUUUGAGGAACCUAAUUUUUACAGGUACCGACAUUGUGAUCCGCAAUCACAGACAUUGCUGCAAGCUAGCAGGAAAGAUGAAUGGGUGGGUGAAGGAGAUUAUGGGAAUGAGUCAAGGACCUUGGUUUUGGUCGUCUUCAACUACAAAGUCCCUUGCGCUGCAACUGCAAGUCUGAUUUUGUAAUAUCACUAAAGAAAGGGACUAUUUUGCACAAGGACUAUAAUAUUUGGGCUAUUUUGCAUUUUCCCACAUAACGCAAACCCUAAAACGAGCCCCCGCCGCUCUAUCCUCCCCCAAACCCUUUAACCAUUCCCUUUAAAUUCUCCAGCUCCACAACUCAAUCUCAUCAAUUUUCCAUCCCAACUUAUUCCUUCCGCCGCCGCUCUUUGUUUAAUCCUUUCCAAUUUUGUUUCAAAAACUUCCGGCAAUUUUCUGUAUCGCCAAUGAGGAAGAAAUCCCAAGAAUAGGAAGUGCCGUAUGACACAUUAANCUCAUCAAUUUUCCAUCCCAACUUAUUCCUUCCGCCGCCGCUCUUUGUUUAAUCCUUUCCAAUUUUGUUUCAAAAACUUCCGGCAAUUUUCUGUAUCGCCAAUGAGGAAGAAAUCCCAAGAAUAGGAAGUGCCGUAUGACACAUUAAAACGCAGCAUUUUCGCGCCGUCCGCCGCUUCCUUCCACCGCCGUCGAUUCUAUGUCUAUGUGACAUCAGAAUUGUUCGUCGGUCGGUUGCGUCGCCGUCGCUGCUGCUUGGUUGAUUUGAAACGGGACUCUGAGGUUAUUUGAUACUUUUUCUUGUUUCAUAUACCUUGUUUUUUUCAUCCGCCGACGGUUCGAUGCCACGUCGCUGGUAGCAACGGCUAUGACCGGCGAUGUCAUGAUUGAACCAAAACCAAACUCUUUCGCAUCUUGAUAGGAACCUGUGGAUCGAUUUUUACCGUUCGUUCACGGAGCCGUUUUGUGCGAUUACAUUUUAAUUCGAAUUUAUUUAAUUUUCAAAUUGAAAACUAGCACCAUUUUUUUGUAUGAAUUGUGGCCAAUGAGGAUUAAAACAUAUUUAUAUAUCUGGAAUUACCGUCUGAAUAUCUCUUGAUGUGUUAGAUCGACUAUCUGAGGCCUCCUUUUAUAAAAAAUAAGGAUUUGCUAAGAAUUUUAAAAAUAAUUAUGUUUUCUUCGUUUCCUGAAAGUGAUAUUCUUGAAAUUUUCGGAAUAAGCCAAUUUGCAGAGCAAGGACGUCGAUUUUAUAUCAAUGACGAAAACUUGCAUUGAAGGUUGGCAAUAUCGAAGCGAUUCUCCGUGCCUUUCAUCUCUUUUGGGUUUUGAUUGCGGCCUCGAACAAAUCGCUACAUUUUUUAAAAUUUGUUUUACUUAUUGCGAUUUUAUUUAAUAAUAAUGUUGUUUUAAAGAUUAAUACGUCAUACUAUCUCAAUUUAUAUUCCUCAUCUUCUGAGAUAUAGUAUAUGGUUUAAGUCAUUUUGAUUUUGGAUUGGUCUGUUUAACCAUUCAUUGUUCUAUUUCAAGAUUUUGUAUUUAAGUUAAAAUAUUGUCUGUUCUUGCAUUCAGAUGAUCGCGUAGUGUAGUUUGUUUGAAGUGAAAUGCGUAAGAGAUGAACCAUGAGAAUGGAUUUGGAUGGCUGUGUAGAAACGAAGCCCUCGUUAAUGUGAUGGGUGUGAGAAGAUGGGUGAAAUCGAGACGAGGAUGUUCCUAGGUUGAUGUCAUUAUUUGAAACCAACGAUUUGGCUUCAAGAAUCAUGACAACUCCGGAGGAGGAGCUGUCCGUUGACGUUACAGCAGCGAGGCCUAUUUAAAACUUCCUGACUUGAUUUGUUGG